This is a non-coding RNA of Camellia sinensis, 169 nucleotides long. The record is from RefSeq and is a predicted model, not a curated record. Lineage: Eukaryota; Viridiplantae; Streptophyta; Magnoliopsida; Ericales; Theaceae.
GGUAAGAAAAGCCUGUAGAUUUAAGGUUCUAGAAGAAGGUACCUAACUUGUUGAUAAAAGAUGAAUAGCUUUCCCAAAACGAGGACUCUUUCUGUGUUGAACAAAAAAGAUGACUCUUGUGGAGCUUCUGUUCUUUCCCACUUGUUCUUUCAUAUUGGCUGAUGCUUUU